GGGUACAAACUGAACAAAAUUCUUGAUCCCACAAAACGACACCGUUUGGAUCAACAAUACUCCCAUCUUUUGUAACCUCUCUCUUCACUGUUCUCCUCAAUGAACCAAGAGUGAUCUUGGGUCCUUUCCACUUGAUCUCCACAACCCUAUGAUAAUCUUUCUCUGUGUCCGCAUGUACAGGAUCACAACCCCCAAAUUCCAUCUUCUUCACCACCAAUUUCACCUCAAACUUUCUUGAUAAUAUUGGUGGCCAAGGUCUCCAUUUCAUCAUCUUUACCACCAUUUUGGGUCAAGAUUUGAUGGUGGGUGUGUUAAAGAUUGAAACUUUAUAGCAAUUCAGAUGGUGGGUGUUGAUUUUCUUGAUGUUUUAAUGUUGGGUUUUCAAGGAUUAGGGGAAGAAUGAGUGUAUAUUGGGUCAAGAUUGAUGAGGGGUGUGAUGAAGAUUGAAAAAGAUUGAAGCUUUGGAGAAAUUGAGGAGAUGGGUGUUGUUUUUCUUGAGGUUUGAGUGUUGGGUUUUCAAGAAAUGGUGAAUGUGUAGUGUUGUAAGUUGUGAUCUUUUGAGUUAAAUUGUCGAUGAGUUUGAGAGAUGAAACUGAAUAUGGUGGUGUU
Molecule: long non-coding RNA, 609 nt
Filed under: Helianthus annuus (common sunflower)
Lineage: Eukaryota; Viridiplantae; Streptophyta; Magnoliopsida; Asterales; Asteraceae
Description: sRNA HanXRQr2_Chr11g0511741
Source: RNAcentral